Cottoperca gobio is the source of this 1333-nucleotide long non-coding RNA. RefSeq lists it as uncharacterized. The transcript has 4 exons. The record is from RefSeq and is a predicted model, not a curated record. NCBI's taxonomy places the organism in Eukaryota, Metazoa, Chordata, Actinopteri, Perciformes, Bovichtidae.
UAGAAAACUAUUUAACUCCAAAAAGGAGCAAAAGCAAGAAAUGAAAAAGAUUGCCUGUCUUGUUUGCUUUCAGAGAUUUCUUAACUUUGUUCAGUUAAAUCAGGGUUUCUCAACGGGGCGGUAGCGACCCCCCAGGGAGAAGAGCGAGGCAAAGUCCUUGUAUGUGAAAGUUUCACCAUGAACGUCGUGUUAUUGACUUGGUUACAUAUUUACAAGAGGGGUGUUCCCCUGAAAGCACCGAGCGUCCAGCAUCCAGACACACAGUAGCUGUGUCUCACACACACAGUAGCUGUGUCUCACACACACAGUAGCUGUGUCUCAAUUCAGGGGCUGUAGACCGAGCAGCCACAACAGGACUGUCCGAUUUCGGAGACUCAAUGCGCCCAGAGAAGUUAUUUUCUGACGCAGCCGUAGCGACAAAUGGAUAUACUUUUAAAUGGAGAAGGAGACAGGCAGAAGAGAGGAGAGCAGGGAGAGGAUGGACAGACUCUUCUCUCUGCUGGAGAAACUUGUUGACAAAUGAAAUGAGAAGAGAGGGACAGAGGAGGAGAUACACAGACCGAUGGAUGUUCAUUUGUUUGUCUGGAGGAUGCAGGUACUUGAGGGAUCAAAGAUGCCAGACGGUCAAAAACACUCAUUCUGUUAGGAAAUCUCGGAACGGAGACUGGAAAACAACGCGUCAAUUUUUCCAAAGCUGUCAGCUUUCAGGGAGUUCAUCAUAGUUUGCAGAAGUUCGGCAUCGAGUACAUUAGCUUCAACCACCUGGCGAGGGUUUGUUGCGGCCUCCCCUCGCUGUUUCGGAUUUUUGACGAGCAGAAGACAUUUUGGCUUAUAAAAGUUACAUAAAACGAAUCUUAAGUAUAUGUUCUAUGUUUUCCAACAAUAAAUGACCAGAAUCGUGCCGUGAUUGAUUAAAUUAAGUCACAUUCUCAGGAGCAGCGGGGAAACACGCCGCUCCUGUCCCCCCUCAUCAUAUGUUUUUAAUGUUAAUUCUUCAUUUGCAAAGCAUCUAGUGACUACAGCUUUCAGAUAAAUGUAGUGGAGUAGAAGUAUUAUUCAGCAUAAAAUAGAAAUACUCAAGUAAAGUACCUUAUAAUGAGGUACAGUACUUUAGUAAAUAUACUUUCCACCACUGUUGCAGAUACACUUCACGCAUCUUAAACAUUAUUUUACUCAGAUAUGAUGAACUUAAUAACAUGCAGAGAGUGAAUCCAAAUAAUUGAGGAUUGAACCGUUUUAUUUUUUAUGAACAAAGGAAGCAUAUGAUCAUCAAAAGAGGGUUGCUACACACCCACAGUUUCCUCACCAUGCUGUCAAGUAAAAACAAUGAAAA